Molecule: ribosomal RNA, 259 nt
Filed under: uncultured bacterium
Lineage: Bacteria
Description: partial 16S ribosomal RNA
Rfam family: Bacterial small subunit ribosomal RNA
Source: RNAcentral
UACGUAGGGCGCAAGCGUUAUCCGGAAUUAUUGGGCGUAAAGAGCUCGUAGGCGGUUUGUCGCGUCUGCCGUGAAAAGUCCGGGGGCUCAACUCCGGAUCUGCGGUGGGUACGGGCAGACUAGAGUGAUGUAGGGGGAGACUGGAAUUCCUGGUGUAGCGGUGAAAUGCGCAGAUAUCAGGAGGAACACCGGUGGCGAAGGCGGCAUCCUGGACCAAUAUUGACGCUGAGGAGCGAAAGCCAGGGGGAGCAAAACGGGG